RNAcentral lists this ribosomal RNA (429 nucleotides) under uncultured bacterium. RNAcentral's name for it is "bacterial SSU rRNA". It matches the Rfam family "Bacterial small subunit ribosomal RNA", at positions 355 to 776 of the family's 1533-position model. The record is from RNAcentral.
UGGGGAAUCUUGCGCAAUGGACGAAAGUCUGACGCAGCGACGCCGCGUGGGUGAAGAAGGCCUUCGGGUUGUAAAGCCCUGUCGAACGGGACAAAUGGUUUAGAUAGUAACUGAUCUAAGCGUGAUGGUACCGUUAGAGGAAGCACCGGCUAACUCUGUGCCAGCAGCCGCGGUAAUACAGAGGGUGCUAGCGUUGUUCGGAAUUAUUGGGCGUAAAGGGCAGGUAGGUGGUUUGAUAAGUCUGCUGUGAAAUCCCUGGGCUUAACCCAGGGCUUGCAGUGGAUACUGUCGGACUAGAGUGCCGGAGGGGUGCGUGGAAUUCCGAGUGUAGCGGUGAAAUGCGUAGAUAUUCGGAGGAACACCAGAGGCGAAAGCGGCGCACUGGACGGUAACUGACACUCAACUGCGAAAGCGUGGGGAUCAAACAGG